UACAGAGGGUGCAAGCGUUAAUCGGAAUUACUGGGCGUAAAGCGUGCGUAGACGGUUGUCUAAGUCGGAUGUGAAAUCCCCGGGCUCAACCUGGGAAUUGCAUUCGAGACUGAACAGCUAGGGUACGGAAGAGGGAAGCGGAAUUUCCGGUGUAGCAGUGAAAUGCGUAGAUAUCGGAAGGAACAUCAGUGGCGAAAGCGGCUUCCUGGUCCAGUACCGACGUUCAGGCACGAAAGCGUGGGGAGCAAACAGG
This 253-nucleotide ribosomal RNA is filed under the name uncultured bacterium. RNAcentral's name for it is "partial 16S ribosomal RNA". It matches the Rfam family "Bacterial small subunit ribosomal RNA", at positions 524 to 776 of the family's 1533-position model. The record is from RNAcentral.